RNAcentral lists this ribosomal RNA (477 nucleotides) under uncultured bacterium. Its description in RNAcentral is "bacterial SSU rRNA". It matches the Rfam family "Bacterial small subunit ribosomal RNA", at positions 28 to 507 of the family's 1533-position model. The record is from RNAcentral.
GAUGAACGCUAGCGGCAGGCCUAACACAUGCAAGUCAGGGGUAGAACACUUCGGUGUUUGAGACCGGCGCACGGGUGCGUAACGCGUAUGCAAUCUACCUUGUACAGGGGAAUAGCCCAGAGAAAUUUGGAUUAAUGCCCCAUAGUAUAUAACCUUCGCAUGUUGGUUAUAUUAAAGUUCCAACGGUAAAAGAUGAGCAUGCGUCCCAUUAGCUAGAUGGUAAGGUAACGGCUUACCAUGGCGACGAUGGGUAGGGGUCCUGAGAGGGAGAUCCCCCACACUGGUACUGAGACACGGACCAGACUCCUACGGGAGGCAGCAGUGAGGAAUAUUGGACAAUGGGCGCAAGCCUGAUCCAGCCAUGCCGCGUGCAGGAUGACGGUCCUAUGGAUUGUAAACUGCUUUUGUACAGGAAGAAACACUCCCUCGUGAGGGAGCUUGACGGUACUGUAAGAAUAAGGAUCGGCUAACUCCGUG